UACGGGAGGCAGCAGUGGGGAAUAUUGCACAAUGGGCGCAAGCCUGAUGCAGCCAUGCCGCGUGUAUGAAGAAGGCCUUCGGGUUGUAAAGUACUUUCAGUCGUGAGGAAGGUGUUAAGGUUAAUAACCUUAGCAAUUGACGUUAGCGACAGAAGAAGCACCGGCUAACUCCGUGCCAGCAGCCGCGGUAAUACGGAGGGUGUCGAGCGUUAAUCGGAAUUACUGGGCGUAAAGGGCACGCAGGCGGUUAAUUAAGUUGGAUGUGAAAUCCCCGGGCUUAACCUGGGAAUGGCAUUCAAGACUGGUUAGCUAGAGUCUUGUAGAGGGGGUAGAAUUCCAUGUGUAGCGGUGAAAUGCGUAGAGAUGUGGAGGAAUACCGGUGGCGAAGGCGGCCCCUGGACAAGACUGACGCUCAUGUGCGAAAGCGUGGGGAGCAAAC
RNAcentral lists this ribosomal RNA (439 nucleotides) under uncultured bacterium. RNAcentral's name for it is "bacterial SSU rRNA". It matches the Rfam family "Bacterial small subunit ribosomal RNA", at positions 340 to 773 of the family's 1533-position model. The record is from RNAcentral.